GACAGAGGGGGCAAGCGUUGCUCGGAAUAGCUGGGCGUAAAGGGCGCGUAGGCGGGAUGGCAAGUCAGUCGUGAAAUCUCUCGGCUCAACCGAGAAACGUCGGCUGAUACUGCCGUUCUUGAGGGAUGCAGAGGAGACUGGAAUUCCCGGUGUAGCGGUGAAAUGUGUAGAGAUCGGGAGGAACACCGGUGGCGAAGGCGGGUCUCUGGGCAUCUCCUGACGCUGAGGCGCGAAAGCGUGGGGAGCAAACGGG
This 253-nucleotide ribosomal RNA is filed under the name uncultured bacterium. RNAcentral describes it as "partial 16S ribosomal RNA". It matches the Rfam family "Bacterial small subunit ribosomal RNA", at positions 524 to 776 of the family's 1533-position model. The record is from RNAcentral.